RNAcentral lists this ribosomal RNA (253 nucleotides) under uncultured bacterium. Its description in RNAcentral is "partial 16S ribosomal RNA". It matches the Rfam family "Bacterial small subunit ribosomal RNA", at positions 524 to 776 of the family's 1533-position model. The record is from RNAcentral.
UACGAGGGGGGCGAGCGUUGUUCGGAAUUAUUGGGCGUAAAGGGCGCGUAGGCGGUUUGAUAAGUCUUGUGUGAAAUCUUCGGGCUCAACUCGAAGUCUGCACGAGAAACUAUCUGGCUUGAGUGUGGGAGAGGUGAGUGGAAUUCCGAGUGUAGAGGUGAAAUUCGUAGAUAUUCGGAAGAACACCAGUGGCGAAGGCGACUCACUGGACAUGUGUUGACGCUGAGGUGCGAAAGCGUGGGGAGCAAACAGG